UAGUGGGGAGCGCAGCUGCCUUCCGAGCAGUUGUCCUGGGUUCGAUUCCCAGCCCGCCUG
Molecule: transfer RNA, 60 nt
Filed under: Chelonia mydas (Green sea turtle)
Lineage: Eukaryota; Metazoa; Chordata; Testudines; Cheloniidae
Rfam family: tRNA
About the family: Transfer RNA (tRNA) molecules are approximately 80 nucleotides in length.
Source: Rfam by way of RNAcentral